UGGGGAAUCUUCCGCAACGGACGAAAGUCUGACGGAGCAACGCCGCGUGUAUGAUGAAGGUCUUCGGAUUGUAAAGUACUGUCAUUGGGGAAGAACGGUUUUCUUGAGAAUAUUGAGAAGACAUGACGGUACCCAAGGAGGAAGCCCCGGCUAACUACGUGCCAGCAGCCGCGGUAAUACGUAGGGGGCAAGCGUUGUCCGGAAUUAUUGGGCGUAAAGGGCGCGUAGGCGGGCCUUUAAGUCCGGUGUGAAAGAUCAGGGCUCAACCCUGAGAGUGCAUCGGAAACUGGAGGCCUUGAGGACAGGAGAGGAAAGUGGAAUUCCACGUGUAGCGGUGAAAUGCGUAGAUAUGUGGAGGAACACCAGUGGCGAAGGCGACUUUCUGGACUGUAACUGACGCUGAGGCGCGAAAGCGUGGGGAGCAAACAGGAUUAGAUACCCUGGUAG
Molecule: ribosomal RNA, 447 nt
Filed under: uncultured bacterium
Lineage: Bacteria
Description: partial 16S ribosomal RNA
Rfam family: Bacterial small subunit ribosomal RNA
Source: RNAcentral